This 98-nucleotide ribosomal RNA is filed under the name uncultured bacterium. Its description in RNAcentral is "partial 16S ribosomal RNA". It matches the Rfam family "Bacterial small subunit ribosomal RNA", at positions 1386 to 1482 of the family's 1533-position model. The record is from RNAcentral.
CACACCGCCCGUCACACCAUGAAAGUUGUGCCUACCAGAAGUCGCUGCGCUAACCGUAAGGAGGCAGGCGCCCAAGGUAGGAACGAUGAGUUGGGGUG